CAGCCUGUUUAUAUUUAUAGGCUGUUUCAACUUCAAUUUCAAAAUAUUUUUUUUAUUUUCUAAAAACAGUUUGAAUUUAGGUGUGUUCCGCCUCCUCAUUCAUUCACAUAAAAAUAGUAAUUUUUACUUUUGCGGACAAUUACAUUGUUGGGACAUUUCUGACACGGACAAAAUUCCCCAAGCACUUCCCAAUUGUUUGUGCAGUUCACGUUUGCAAACAUUUGCUCAUCUCCAGUCAGAACAGGAUGUGUUCACAUUUUCCAUUCCACAUUUAUAUUGUAGCGUAAUGUACGUAUGGAGCAUAAUAUAUUUGUCUAUAUUCUUUAUAAUCGCGGACACGUGAGGAAACGUUACUCAUUUCAUAACCUUUAUGGUGUUAUAGUCAAUCGUGCUUAUGUAGCUACCUUCGUCUAUUAACUCUAAAACAAUGCUAAUUGCGUUAGAGAACUAUUAUCUUGUGUUGUAUUUUGACGCUAUGUGGCCUUAUGACUCCCAAGUGGUGCAGCGGUCAAAGGCACAGCACAUCAGUGCAAGAGGCGUCACUACAGACGCGGUUCAAAUCCAGGCGGCGUUUCUAUCCAAGUAAGUGCCUUAUUACGUUAUAAUAGUUUCCGUAUGCCGUUUCUGCUGUAGCUCACUGUAUGUAUGGAGCAUAAUAUAUUUCUUAUAACCGCGGACACGUGAGGUAACGUUACACAUUUUAUAACCUUUAUGUUGUUAUAGUCAAUCGUGCUUACAAUAUUCUAUUAGCUCUGUAAAACAAUGCUAGUUGCGUCAGAGAACUAUUGUGUUGUAUUUUGAAGCUACCCUGGACUUAUGACUCCCAAGUGGCGCAGCAGUCUAUGGCACUGCAUCUCGGUACUAGAGGCGUCACUACAGACACCCUGGCACAAUUGGCCCAGCGUUGUCCGAGUUUGGCCGGUGUAGGCCAUCAUUGUAAAUAAUAAUUUGUUCUUAAAUGACUUGCCUAGUUAAAUAAAUAAAAAUAUGACCAUGGUUUGUUUAUUUGGUGUAUUCAGCAUAGCUCUGUUCUGCCCUGCCUUGCCCCCCAUGUGGCGCUCAAAAGUUAGUUUCUUACUGUUAUAACUCAAAUCUGUGAUUUUGUCAAUGCAAUAAACUAUUUUUUAUAGCAGUGUUUAUUAUGUUACUUCUUUGUGGUAUUGUUUUAUUGCUAUAUCCUUAUAUUGUAUUCUAAUGAAUAAUUCAUAUUUAUUCUGUACUUUCAGAAACCACAAACAUUAUUUGCCAAUAUUGUUAAUUGUUUACUCCAUGUGUAACUCUGUGUUGUCUGUUCACACUGCUAUGCUUUAUCUUGGCCAGGUCGCAGUUGCAAAUGAGAACUUGUUCUCAACUAGCCUACCUGGUUAAAUAAAGGUGAAAAAAAAAAGAAAAGAAAAAUAUCAUAACUGGAGCUGGACGUCUUUGGAGCUGAAGAAUGACAGCUUUUGUAUGCUAACGUACACUCCUUAACAGUUGUACUGGAUGAAAACACAGCAAGAAAACACAUAUGCCAAUAUGGAAUAGUCAUCUAUUUUAUUGCAGUAUUGGUAGUUGGUUCAACAACUUGUUUUACUAGAGGACAAAAAACGGAAUAUGCAUAACCCAUAUUUAAUAUCCAUGCAGUGACUGAACAACAACUGCAUUUCCACCCCCAUCUCUAAAGGCAUAGUAUCAUGGCUGGUCACCUGUCAGACAGGCAGACUUUGCAGUGCCUCCGUGUGCGACUACCUUGAGCAGCAGUUUGAGGGACAUUGCAGGGAAAAUGCCGUGCAGUGAGGCGUAGGGGAUUGUCUACAGCAGGACGACCCCCAGUGGAUGGGCGCCGAGGGGUGUGGUGCUCCUCCAGCAGCUCUCAUGAGGUUCUCUCUGUAUUUUUGGUGGUCCACCUUCCCUGUGGCCGACAUGGUUGCUGUAUGGACAGUGGAGAGGACAUGGACGUCUCGUUUGUCAUGCCACUUUACUGCCAGCUGUUGACCGUUCUCCUGGAACUCCACCUCCCCUCUCUGCAUCUUCCUGCAUCCAAAUGCCGGCAUCCCCUUCCUGUUCGACACGACUGUGCCACAGGCCCCUGUGCUGUUGGAGAGCAGAUGCUGGAAGAGUGUGGGACUGCUGUACCUAUUGUCCACAUGCAAAGUGUGUCCCUUGCCGAGAUGAGGAGCCAGCAUGGUCAUCACCACGGACCCGGACACCCCAAGCCCCUCAUAAUGUUUGAUGUCAGUGGUGGACCCUGUGUAAACUAUAAUAUCCUGGACAAAUCCUGUCUUCACGUCGCACAUGACAAGGAACUUGACUCCAAACCUGUGCCUUUUGGAGGGAAUAUAUUGACGGAACGCCAGCCUACCUUUCCAUAACACCAGGGACUCAUCAAUGCAUAGGUCCUUGUAUGGCACAAAGACCUGACCAAAUGCUGAUGUCAGGCUGAUAAGAACAUUUCUUAUUUUGUAUAAUGUGUGACUUAGGAUGGCAGUAGCAUUGUUGACGAAAUGCAGGCAUAGCAGCAGAACUAGGAAGCGGUCUUGGGAAAAGAGGGUGGCAAAGAAGGGAGUUGCAAACAUAGGAUCUGUGCUCCAGUAUUCUCUUAGAGUUCUUCUUUACUAUCCCAUGAGGAGAACUGUCACCAGGAAGGUAUACGUUUCACUAAUUGUGGUUGUCACCCAUUUAGCGAGUUUCCCCCUCACUCCUGGCUCUCAUCUCCUGUAGCUCCAAGGCAUAGCGGUUGGUCUCCUCUACUAUGUUUCCCACCAGCUCCUCUGUCAGAAACAACUUGAAGCACUCUGCCUCAGUUGGAAAUGGCAAGGGGCGUUGCACUCCAGACUGGGACUCGUCAAAGCAAACAGCAGGGCCAGGAGGGGUGAAAUGACUGGUGGCCUUCCAGGUACCACAGAACUCCUGUACUUCAUCCACUGUCGGUCCGCCUCCAUCACCACUAGCAUCUUCAAAGGGACCUAGUACUUCGUCAGUGGACAAGGGAAAUUCAGAUUCAGGGUUCUCAAUGGCUACAAGGUUGGGGGGCAGCUCCUCACUGUCACUGUCCGAAUCUGAUUCCUGACUUUCAUACUCAGACUCAUUGUCAGAAUUUUAAAAAAUCUCCAGAAUUACCACAUUUGUGAGUUGUCUCCUUUUGAAAGACAUUGCUAAUGCUACAGCUUAGCUCACUAGCUACAUACAUAAACAACACUGAAUGGCGCAGAGUGAGAGGUUACGUGGUUGACUGCCGGAACGCGCCACUUGUAUCAAUAAAUCACUCAGAAAAUGUGUGGCAAUUAUUUGUGUAUUUACGGUUUUAUUCACGUUUUCAAUUCUAGGUGACAAAUCAUGCAUUCCGAUUCUUACACAGAUUGUAAUGGGCACAUAUUAUGUGUGUAAAAUACUUUUUUGAAGGUUGUACUAAUUAUGAUGAGCUAAGCUAAUUCCAGCUGUGUAGCCAUGUUUGUUGAAAUACAAUGCAUUCUGGGUUUCACGUCUGUUUGACCAAAGAUGUUAUAACAAAAUGAGGUGAGAGUUCACACAUUUUUUGAGGACUUCCGGAAAUUAAUGGUGGGAUGUGAACCACGGUAGAUGACACACCCCUUCAACAUGCAUACUAUAAACAGACCAAACUCAUCCCGUGUUCUCUUAUUAUCUUCGGUUUCUGUGAGGAAAAAAUUCAUGGCUGCGCGGUGAAACUAAUCGUCGGAUUACUUUCGAUUUCUAUAAAGUGUUUUACCUAGUUAUUUCGAUCAAUGUUGAGCUCACCUGUGAUGUGAUUAAUUAUACAUAGUAAUUGCUAUUAGCUAAUUCAUAUUGUAGUUUAUGUCAGCCGAGAGUUAGAAAAUAUGACUGCUUGUGUUGGGUCAAUAUUUCCUCAGCUAGCGCUAGGACAAAUGUAGCCUACAUUUUUCCGGUUAGGAUGACAUUCUGGACAUAACUUUGUAAGGACUGUGUUUGUGUAAAUAGUUUCUGAAAAAAAGUGUGGCCAGCUCAAACGCUGAUUGUUGCGUCAUUCGAAACUGGCCGUUUUAAACGAGCGUUCUAAUCACACAUGGUACAGGAGUCGGGUGGCACCUUAAUUGGGGAGGAUGGGCUCCUGGUAAUUGCUGGAGCAGCAGAAUUAGUG
Molecule: long non-coding RNA, 4096 nt
Organism: Oncorhynchus keta (chum salmon)
Lineage: Eukaryota; Metazoa; Chordata; Actinopteri; Salmoniformes; Salmonidae
Exons: 3
Source: RefSeq, a predicted model, not a curated record